RNAcentral lists this ribosomal RNA (468 nucleotides) under uncultured bacterium. RNAcentral describes it as "partial 16S ribosomal RNA". It matches the Rfam family "Bacterial small subunit ribosomal RNA", at positions 28 to 507 of the family's 1533-position model. The record is from RNAcentral.
GACGAACGCUGGCGGCGUGCUUAACACAUGCAAGUCGAACGGAAAGGCGCUGCUUUUGUGGGGUGCUCGAGUGGCGAACGGGUGAGUAACACGUGAGUAACCUGCCCUUGACUUUGGGAUAACUUCAGGAAAAUGGGGCGAAUACCGGAGAGGAGAUCCUGCUGCAUGGGGGGGGUUGGAAAGUUUCGGCGGUUGUGGCUGGACUCGCGGCUUAUGAGCUUGUUGGGGGGGUUGUUGCUUACAAGGGCUUUGACGGGUAGCCGGCCUGAGAGGGUGACCGGCCCCAUUGGGACUGCGAGAGGGCGCAGACUCGUACGGGAGGCAACAGUGGGGAGUAUUGCACAGCGGGCGCACGCCUGAUGCAGCAACGCCGCGUGCGGGAUGACGGCCUUCGGGUUGUAAACCGCUUUCGCCUGUGAUGAAGCGUGAGUGACGGUAAUUGGUAAAGAAGCACCGGCUAACUACGUG